Molecule: ribosomal RNA, 569 nt
Filed under: Capnodiales sp. A995
Lineage: Eukaryota; Fungi; Ascomycota; Dothideomycetes; Capnodiales
Description: SSU rRNA
Rfam family: Eukaryotic small subunit ribosomal RNA
Source: RNAcentral
UGGUAAUUCUAGAGCUAAUACAUGCUAAAAACCCCGACUUCGGAAGGGGUGUAUUUAUUAGAUAAAAAACCAAUGCCCUUCGGGGCUCCUUGGUGAAUCAUAAUAACUUAACGAAUCGCAUGGCCUUGCGCCGGCGAUGGUUCAUUCAAAUUUCUGCCCUAUCAACUUUCGAUGGUAGGAUAGUGGCCUACCAUGGUGGCAACGGGUAACGGGGAAUUAGGGUUCGAUACCGGAGAGGGAGCCUGAGAAACGGCUACCACAUCCAAGGAAGGCAGCAGGCGCGCAAAUUACCCAAUCCCGAUACGGGGAGGUAGUGACAAUAAAUACUGAUACAGGGCUCUUUUGGGUCUUGUAAUUGGAAUGAGUACAAUUUAAAUCCCUUAACGAGGAACAAUUGGAGGGCAAGUCUGGUGCCAGCAGCCGCGGUAAUUCCAGCUCCAAUAGCGUAUAUUAAAGUUGUUGCAGUUAAAAAGCUCGUAGUUGAACCUUGGGCCUGGCUGGCCGGUCCGCCUCACCGCGUGUACUGGUCCGGCCGGGCCUUUCCUUCUGGGGAGCCGCAUGCCCUUCAC